GGACGAACGGCUGGCGGCGUGCCUAACACAUGCAAGUCGAACGGAGUCAGACGCUGAAUUUGAGAUUAGCUUGCUAAGGAAAUUCUGUUUGACUUAAGUGGCGACGGGUGAGUAACGCGUGAGCAACCUGCCUUUCAGAGGGGGAUAACGUUUGGAAACGAACGCUAAUACCGCAUAAAACAGCAGUACGGCAUCGUACAACUGUCAAAGGAGCAAUCCGCUGAAAGAUGGGCUCGCGUCCGAUUAGCUAGUUGGUGAGGUAACGGCUCACCAAGGCGAUGAUCGGUAGCCGGACUGAGAGGUUGAACGGCCACAUUGGGACUGAGACACGGCCCAGACUCCUACGGGAGGCAGCAGUGGGGAUAUUGCACAAUGGGCGAAAGCCUGAUGCAGCAACGCCGCGUGAGGGAAGACGGUUUUCGGAUUGUAAACCUCUGUCUUUGGUGACGAACAAAUGACGGUAGCCAAGGAGGAAGCCCGGCUAACUACGUGCC
Molecule: ribosomal RNA, 494 nt
Filed under: uncultured bacterium
Lineage: Bacteria
Description: bacterial SSU rRNA
Rfam family: Bacterial small subunit ribosomal RNA
Source: RNAcentral